Molecule: ribosomal RNA, 497 nt
Filed under: uncultured bacterium
Lineage: Bacteria
Description: partial 16S ribosomal RNA
Rfam family: Bacterial small subunit ribosomal RNA
Source: RNAcentral
GAUGAACGCUGGCGGCGUGCCUAAUACAUGCAAGUCGAGCGAACAGACGAGGAGCUUGCUCCUCUGACGUUAGCGGCGGACGGGUGAGUAACACGUGGAUAACCUACCUAUAAGACUGGGAUAACUUCGGGAAACCGGAGCUAAUACCGGAUAAGAUAUUGAACCGCAGGGUUCAAUAGUGAAAGACGGUUUUGCUGUCACUUAUAGAUGGAUCCGCGCCGCAUUAGCUAGUUGGUAAGGUAACGGCUUACCAAGGCAACGAUGCGUAGCCGACCUGAGAGGGUGAUCGGCCACACUGGAACUGAGACACGGUCCAGACUCCUACGGGAGGCAGCAGUAGGGAAUCUUCCGCAAUGGGCGAAAGCCUGACGGAGCCACGCCGCGUGAGUGAUGAAGGUCUUCGGAUCGUAAAACUCUGUUAUUAGGGAAGAACAAAUGUGUAAGUAACUCUGCACGUCUUGACGGUACCUAAUCAGAAAGCCACGGCUAACUACGUG